UGUGUAGGCGGUUGUUUAAGUUUGGUGUGAAAUCUCCCGGCUUAACUGGGAGGGUGCGCCGAAUACUGAAUGACUAGAGUGCGGGAGAGGAGAGUGGAAUUCCUGGUGUAGCGGUGAAAUGCGUAGAUAUCAGGAGGAACACCGGCGGUGUAGACGGCUCUCUGGACCGUAACUGACGCUGAGACACGAAAGCGUGGGUAGCAAACAGGAUUAGAUACCCUGGUAGUCCACGCCCUAAACGAUGCAUAUUUGGUGUGGGUCAUUCAGUUGAUCCGUGCCGGAGCUAACGCGUUAAAUAUGCCGCCUGGGGAGUACAGUCGCAAGGCUGAA
This 330-nucleotide ribosomal RNA is filed under the name uncultured bacterium. RNAcentral describes it as "bacterial SSU rRNA". It matches the Rfam family "Bacterial small subunit ribosomal RNA", at positions 568 to 898 of the family's 1533-position model. The record is from RNAcentral.